Molecule: ribosomal RNA, 877 nt
Filed under: uncultured bacterium
Lineage: Bacteria
Description: bacterial SSU rRNA
Rfam family: Bacterial small subunit ribosomal RNA
Source: RNAcentral
GCUCAGGAUGAACGCUAGCGGCAGGCUUAACACAUGCAAGUCGAGGGGUAGGUUACUUCGGUAACUGAGACCGGCGCACGGGUGCGUAACGCGUAUACAAUCUACCUUUUACAGAGGGAUAGCCCAGAGAAAUUUGGAUUAAUACCUCCAUAGUAUUUUUGAAUGGCAUCAUUUUGAUUAUUAAAGUUCCAACGGUAAAAGAUGAGUAUGCGUCCCAUUAGCUAGAUGGUAAGGUAACGGCUUACCAUGGCUACGAUGGGUAGGGGUCCUGAGAGGGAGAUCCCCCACACUGGUACUGAGACACGGACCAGACUCCUACGGGAGGCAGCAGUGAGGAAUAUUGGACAAUGGGCGCAAGCCUGAUCCAGCCAUGCCGCGUGCAGGAAGAAGGUCCUAUGGAUUGUAAACUGCUUUUAUACAGGAAGAAACACCUCUACGUGUAGAGACUUGACGGUACUGUAUGAAUAAGGACCGGCUAACUCCGUGCCAGCAGCCGCGGUAAUACGGAGGGUCCAAGCGUUAUCCGGAAUCAUUGGGUUUAAAGGGUCCGUAGGCGGCCAAAUAAGUCAGUGGUGAAAGCCCAUCGCUCAACGAUGGAACGGCCAUUGAUACUGUUUGGCUUGAAUUAUUAGGAAGUAACUAGAAUAUGUAGUGUAGCGGUGAAAUGCUUAGAGAUUACAUGGAAUACCAAUUGCGAAGGCAGGUUACUACUAAUAUAUUGACGCUGAUGGACGAAAGCGUGGGGAGCGAACAGGAUUAGAUACCCUGGUAGUCCACGCCGUAAACGAUGGAUACUAGCUGUUCGGAGCAAUCUGAGUGGCUAAGCGAAAGUGAUAAGUAUCCCACCUGGGGAGUACGUUCGCAAGAAUGAAACUCA